CAGGCCUAACACAUGCAAGUCGAACGAGAAAGCCCCUUCGGGGGUGAGUACAGUGGCGGACGGGUGAGUAACACGUGGGUUACCUGCCCUUGAGUGGGGAAUAACCCCGGGAAACUGGGGCUAAUACCGCAUACGACCCUUCGGGGUGAAAGCUUUAUGCGCUCGAGGAUGGGCCCGCGGUCGAUUAGCUUGUUGGUGGGGUAAUGGCCUACCAAGGCUGCGAUCGAUAGCCGGCCUGAGAGGGCACACGGCCACACUGGCACUGAGACACGGGCCAGACUCCUACGGGAGGCAGCAGUGGGGAAUCUUGGACAAUGGGGGAAACCCUGAUCCAGCGACGCCGCGUGAUCGAUGAAGGCCUUCGGGUCGUAAAGAUCUUUCAGCGGGGACUAUGAUGAAGGUACCCGCAGAAGCAGGAGCGGCUAACUACGUGCCAGCAGCCGCGGUAAUACGUAGGCUCCAAGCGUUGUUCGGAAUUACUGGGCGUAAAGCGAGUGUAGGCGGUUCGCCAAGUCGAUUGUGAAAUCUCCCGGCUCAACUGGGAGGGUGCGGUCGAUACUGGCGAGCUAGAGUGCGGAAGAGGAAGGUAGAAUUCCUGGUGUAGCGGUGGAAUGCGUAGAUAUCAGGAGGAAUACCGGUGGUGAAGACGGCCUUCUGGGCCGCAACUGACGCUGAGACUCGAAAGCGUGGGGAGCAAACAGGAUUAGAUACCCUGGUAGUCCACGCCCU
Molecule: ribosomal RNA, 729 nt
Filed under: uncultured bacterium
Lineage: Bacteria
Description: bacterial SSU rRNA
Rfam family: Bacterial small subunit ribosomal RNA
Source: RNAcentral